This 476-nucleotide ribosomal RNA is filed under the name uncultured bacterium. RNAcentral describes it as "partial 16S ribosomal RNA". It matches the Rfam family "Bacterial small subunit ribosomal RNA", at positions 355 to 819 of the family's 1533-position model. The record is from RNAcentral.
UGGGGAAUUUUGGACAAUGGGCGAAAGCCUGAUCCAGCAAUGCCGCGUGUGUGAAGAAGGCCUUCGGGUUGUAAAGCACUUUUGUCCGGAAAGAAAUCCUUGGCUCUAAUACAGUCGGGGGAUGACGGUACCGGAAGAAUAAGCACCGGCUAACUACGUGCCAGCAGCCGCGGUAAUACGUAGGGUGCAAGCGUUAAUCGGAAUUACUGGGCGUAAAGCGUGCGCAGGCGGUUUGCUAAGACCGAUGUGAAAUCCCCGGGCUCAACCUGGGAACUGCAUUGGUGACUGGCAGGCUAGAGUAUGGCAGAGGGGGGUAGAAUUCCACGUGUAGCAGUGAAAUGCGUAGAGAUGUGGAGGAAUACCGAUGGCGAAGGCAGCCCCCUGGGCCAAUACUGACGCUCAUGCACGAAAAGCGUGGGGGAGCAAAACAGGAUUAGAUACCCUGGUAGUCCACGCCCUAAAACGAUGUCAACUAG